AGAGACCGGCGCACGGGUGCGUAACGCGUAUGCAAUCUACCUUUCACAAAGGGAUAGCCCAGAGAAAUUUGGAUUAAUACCUUAUAGUAAUACGACUUGGCAUCAAGAUGUAUUUAAAGAUUUAUCGGUGAAAGAUGAGCAUGCGUCCCAUUAGCUAGUUGGUAAGGUAACGGCUUACCAUGGCUACGAUGGCUAGGGGUUCUGAGAGGACGGUCCCCCACACUGGCACUGAGAUACGGGCCAGACUCCUACGGGAGGCAGCAGUAGGGAAUAUUGGGCAAUGGGCGGAAGCCUGACCCAGCCAUGCCGCGUGCAGGAUGAAGGCCUUCUGGGUUGUAAACUGCUUUUACCAGGGAAGAAAACACCCAUGCGUGGGGAACUGACGGUACCUGGGGAAUAAGCACCGGCUAACUCCGUGCCAGCAGCCGCGGUGAUACGGAGGGUGCAAGCGUUGUCCGGAUUUAUUGGGUUUAAAGGGUCCGUAGGCGGUCAGAUAAGUCAGUGGUGAAAGCCCAUCGCUCAACGGUGGA
This 530-nucleotide ribosomal RNA is filed under the name uncultured Bacteroidota bacterium. RNAcentral describes it as "bacterial SSU rRNA". It matches the Rfam family "Bacterial small subunit ribosomal RNA", at positions 90 to 619 of the family's 1533-position model. Lineage: Bacteria; Pseudomonadati; Bacteroidota. The record is from RNAcentral.